RNAcentral lists this transfer RNA (75 nucleotides) under Sutterella massiliensis. RNAcentral describes it as "tRNA-Gln". It matches the Rfam family "tRNA". Rfam says of the family: Transfer RNA (tRNA) molecules are approximately 80 nucleotides in length. Their secondary structure includes four short double-helical elements and three loops (D, anti-codon, and T loops). Lineage: Bacteria; Pseudomonadati; Pseudomonadota; Betaproteobacteria; Burkholderiales; Sutterellaceae. The record is from RNAcentral.
AGGGGCAUAGCCAAGCGGUAAGGCAACGGAUUUUGAUUCCGUGUACCGAAGGUUCGAAUCCUUCUGCCCCUGCCA